Long non-coding RNA from Nycticebus coucang (slow loris), 1335 nucleotides. RefSeq lists it as uncharacterized. NCBI's taxonomy places the organism in Eukaryota, Metazoa, Chordata, Mammalia, Primates, Lorisidae. The record is from RefSeq and is a predicted model, not a curated record. The transcript has 3 exons.
UUUGUGUGGCAUAUAAUAAAAAAAAAAAAUGGCCAUCUAUAAUAAUUCAUUUGCAAAUCUUACUUGAUUUUGAAGCUAUAGGAUGCAUCAACUGUUAGCUGGGAUUCCUGGAGUUUAGUUUUUAAUUCUAAUAGCAAAACACUUCAAAGUCUACUUUAAGAUCCUAAGAAGGACCUUUAAUGCAAAAUCUUAACAGCUUCAGGAGCUUUCUCACCUUGAAGAAAGGGAAAAUGAAGAUAUUGUGGCACUUCAGAAGCAAAGCCUGACGUCCUUCUGUGCUUUAGAGGUGCUGCUGCCGUUCUAUGAGUGCAGGAGCCUUGGAGCUGGCGGCAGAAGAGCCUGUACAUAACCUGGAGGAAGGACCAUUAUCAUUCCUUAUGAAAAGGAAGAUAGCUCAGAGGCUUGCUAUUCAGAAAGCUUUGUCAGAUGCAUUACAGAAACUAUUGAUUGUGGUUUUAGGAAACUUGAUGAACAGGAAGUGCCUGAACAGAAUUGCUGUCUGCUUCGUAGCCCUGAAGGGUCAGAGACUGAAAAAUCAGAGAUGGCCCUGAUAAGUCUCAGCCUUCCAACCUGGGCAGCCCUUCUACUGGAAGUCUUACUUCCCUGCUCAGCAGGUAGACUGUUUUAAAAGAGAUGGCCCUGAUAAGUCUCAGCCUUCCAACUGUCAAGUCUGAGUAAUAACCUUCAAGCACCAGACUAGAUGUUUGUGUUGUUUAUCUCUCCCUAGUAUGCAAAGAUAUCCCUCAUACAUACACAAAAUCCUUAGACCAAAAGCCUAUGGCUUUAGUUUGCCUUGAAGGAAUUUGUAUUGUCUACAAUAUAUAGGCCAGUUUCUACCAAUAAAAUGUUCAAAUGCUGUCUAUCUGCGAAGCUUUGUAUAUUGUAUUUGGUGGAAUUUUGGUUCCCGGGGAGUCAAUACUUGUCUCUUGCUUCUAAUAUGUCUACAGGGGUCUCUAUCCCAGGUUUGAACUCACUUUGACCCUCAUUUUGACCCCCAUUUAAUGCCUUACUAUUUAAUCAUAUUAUGAUUGAACUUUUUUUAUUUUGAGACUGAGUCUCACUCUGUUGUCCAGGCUAUUGGAAUCAGCCUAGCUUAUAACAACUUCAAACUCCUGGUUUCAAAUGAUCCUCCUGCCUCAGCUGCCUAAGGAGUUGGGACUACAAGUACUGCCACAAUGCCGGCUGGGUUGUUUUUUUUUUUUUUUAAAUUUUAUUUUUGUCUUUAGUAGAAACAGGGUCUCACUCUUGCUCAGGCUGGACAUGAACUCCUGAGCUCAAGUGAUCCUUCCACCUCAGCUUUCUAGAGUGCUAGGAUUACAGGGAUGAGCCACCAUG